Molecule: ribosomal RNA, 488 nt
Filed under: uncultured bacterium
Lineage: Bacteria
Description: partial 16S ribosomal RNA
Rfam family: Bacterial small subunit ribosomal RNA
Source: RNAcentral
UUGAACGCUGGCGGCAGGCCUAACACAUGCAAGUCGAACGGUAACAGGAAGAAGCUUGCUUCUUUGCUGACGAGUGGCGGACGGGUGAGUAAUGUCUGGGAAACUGCCUGAUGGAGGGGGAUAACUACUGGAAACGGUAGCUAAUACCGCAUAACGUCGCAAGACCAAAGAGGGGGACCUUCGGGCCUCUUGCCAUCGGAUGUGCCCAGAUGGGAUUAGCUAGUAGGUGGGGUAACGGCUCACCUAGGCGACGAUCCCUAGCUGGUCUGAGAGGAUGACCAGCCACACUGGAACUGAGACACGGUCCAGACUCCUACGGGAGGCAGCAGUGGGGAAUAUUGCACAAUGGGCGCAAGCCUGAUGCAGCCAUGCCGCGGGUAUGAAGAAGGCCUUCGGGUUGUAAAGUACUUUCAGCGGGGAGGAAGGGAGUAAAGUUAAUACCUUUGCUCAUUGACGUUACCCGCAGAAGAAGCACCGGCUAACUCCGU